AGUGAACGCUGGCGGCAGGCCUAAUACAUGCAAGUCGAACGGCAGCACAGCAGAGCUUGCUCUGUGGGUGGCGAGUGGCGGACGGGUGAGGAAUACGUGGGAAUCUGCCCAGUCGUGGGGGAUAACGUAGGGAAACUUACGCUAAUACCGCAUGCGCCCUUCGGGGGAAAGCCGGGGACCUUCGGGCCUGGCGCGAUUGGAUGAGCCCACGUCGGAUUAGCUAGUUGGCGGGGUAAAGGCCCACCAAGGCGACGAUCCGUAGCUGGUCUGAGAGGAUGAUCAGCCACACUGGAACUGAGACACGGUCCAGACUCCUACGGGAGGCAGCAGUAGGGAAUAUUGGACAAUGGGCGCAAGCCUGAUCCAGCCAUGCCGCGUGAGUGAAGAAGGCCCUCGGGUUGUAAAGCUCUUUUGUCCGGAAAGAAAAAGCGCCGGGUUAAUACCCUGGUGUCCUGACGGUACCGGAAGAAUAAGCACGGCUAACUUCGUGCCAGCAGCCGCGGUAAAUACGAAGGGUGCAAGCGUU
RNAcentral lists this ribosomal RNA (526 nucleotides) under uncultured bacterium. RNAcentral's name for it is "bacterial SSU rRNA". It matches the Rfam family "Bacterial small subunit ribosomal RNA", at positions 29 to 542 of the family's 1533-position model. The record is from RNAcentral.